Molecule: ribosomal RNA, 253 nt
Filed under: uncultured bacterium
Lineage: Bacteria
Description: partial 16S ribosomal RNA
Rfam family: Bacterial small subunit ribosomal RNA
Source: RNAcentral
UACGUAGGCAGCGAGCGUUGUUCGGAGUUACUGGGCGUAAAGAGUGCGUAGGCGGUUUUCUAAGUUUGGUGUGAAAUCUCCCGGCUCAACUGGGAGGGUGCGCCGAAGACUGGAAGGCUUGAGUAUGGGAGAGGUAAGCGGAAUUCCUGGUGUAGCGGUGAAAUGCGUAGAUAUCAGGAGGAACACCUGCGGUGUAGACGGCUUACUGGACCAUAACUGACGCUGAGGCACGAAAGCUAGGGUAGCGAACGGG